AACAACUACUACUAACUACCAAAAGGGCACACUAGACCAUCUAUGAAGAGCCCCACCAAUCCCCGCCCAGCCCCGAGAGGGAAUUGCGAGAAUUUCUAAAAGCCUCUAUCCUAACAAAGGGCACACUAGACCAUCUAUGGAGAGCCCCACCAAUUUCCGCCCAGCCCCGAGAGGGAAUUGCGAGAAUUUCUAAAUGUCUCUAUCCUAAAACCCUGAUGCUAGACUUCUAGACUCUCCUAUCAAGAUAGGGCCAUGUCCUCGGAAAUCCACAAUCUAGCCAUGUCAUGCCUAAUCUUUAGAAAGAAGAUCUUUUGUCUCAUGGUAGCAUGCUCCAGUCCCCUUACGAAACUUUCGUUAUUGGGUUAGCCAUACACUUCACAUGUUUCUAGCGAUUCACAUGGCAUCAUCAAAUGAUACAAGANN
This 423-nucleotide long non-coding RNA is filed under the name Nicotiana benthamiana. Its description in RNAcentral is "long non-coding RNA (NBEN_LNC018386)". Lineage: Eukaryota; Viridiplantae; Streptophyta; Magnoliopsida; Solanales; Solanaceae. The record is from RNAcentral.